Long non-coding RNA from Rosa chinensis, 826 nucleotides. RefSeq lists it as uncharacterized. The record is from RefSeq and is a predicted model, not a curated record. NCBI's taxonomy places the organism in Eukaryota, Viridiplantae, Streptophyta, Magnoliopsida, Rosales, Rosaceae. The transcript is spliced from 3 exons.
UCUCUCUCUCUCGUCCGAAGCCACCAACACAGAGCAAACUUCUCCAGCCUUAUUCUCCUUUCAUCGUCCACCUCCAGACGUCGGACCACUCCCCUUGGCUUCGCCUCAGUCCGCUCUACCAGUUGGACGUCGUUGUUCCCUCCGACAUAACCUCAAAUUCUGGCAAACCAACUCGAUCCGGUUACACCCGAAACCGAACCAACUCAUUCUCCUCGUGUUUCCGGCCACCAAUCCCCACCAAACUUCAUCCUCAAGCUCGCCUCAACCCCCUGAAGCUUCCAGAAGUGUCCUUGCAUGGCGACGCAGCGCGUGGUGGCGGCUGGAGGACAGAAACGAUCCGAAUCGAAAAACCGAGCUAUCGAUCCUGAUAUCUUGAGGUACAGACCACCAUUUCUUGUGAUUAUUGAACUGGUGAGCGCGCCUUGAGUUUCUGAACAAAUCCCAGAAAGGAUCGAAUCGAGUUGUUGACAUUUUCACGUGGAUCGGAGCACUCGCCGGAUUCUGGAAAAAUUCCGGCCACUGUGACUGAUUUCGGUAAUUGGCGGUCUUCCUAGGGUGAGCUGUUUCGGUGUGUUUUGUAUUAAAGUGAAGACGCAGCGGGAAUAUCAAGCGGGUAAUCCUACAGGUCAGGAGAAUCGGGAAGGUGAUCAGGCUGCUUAGAGUGGUGGUAUUUGAGCUACAGCAUUAUUGUGAGGUUGUUAUGCUCAUUUGAGCUUACAUUUAAAUUUGGAGAGAGUGUGCUGUAAUAUUAACCUCUUGAGGAUUUGGUUUAUGUAUUAUUGAGUGAUGUGAGGUGUGUUUAUUUCUGAGAAAAAAAUUCAGAACG